This 519-nucleotide ribosomal RNA is filed under the name uncultured bacterium. Its description in RNAcentral is "bacterial SSU rRNA". It matches the Rfam family "Bacterial small subunit ribosomal RNA", at positions 12 to 526 of the family's 1533-position model. The record is from RNAcentral.
UUUGAUCCUGGCUCAGAUUGAACGCUGGCGGCAUGCUUUACACAUGCAAGUCGAACGGCAGCACGGGGGCAACCCUGGUGGCGAGUGGCGAACGGGUGAGUAAUGCAUCGGAACGUGCCCAGUAUGGGGGAUAACACAUCGAAAGAUGUGCUAAUACCGCAUACGCACUACGGUGGAAAGCGGGGGAUCGUAAGACCUCGCGCUAUUGGAGCGGCCGAUGUCCGAUUAGCUAGUUGGUGGGGUAAUGGCCCACCAAGGCAACGAUCGGUAGCCGGCCUGAGAGGGCGGACGGCCACACUGGGACUGAGACACGGCCCAGACUCCUACGGGAGGCAGCAGUGGGGAAUUGUUCGCAAUGGGCGCAAGCCUGACGACGCAACGCCGCGUGGAGGAUGAAGAUUUUCGGAUCGUAAACUCCUUUCGAUCGGGACGAAUGGCUGGAGACCUAAUACGUCUUCAGAGUGACGGUACCGAGAGAAGAAGCCCCGGCUAACUCCGUGCCAGCCGCCGCGGUAAUUC